GUGCUUAACACAUGCAAGUCGAGUGCGCGGUAGCAAUACUGGCGCACGGCGCACGGGUGCGUAACACGUGGGCAAUCUGCCCUCGAGUGGGGAAUAACCCGCCGAAAGGCGGGCUAAUACCGCAUGACAUUCCUCGGACUUCGGUCUGGGGAUUCAAAGUCCGCAAGGACGCUUGAGGAGGAGCCCGCGGCCGAUUAGCUAGUUGGCGGGGUAACGGCCCACCAAGGCGAUGAUCGGUAGCUGGUCUGAGAGGACGGCCGGCCACACUGGAACUGAGACACGGUCCAG
RNAcentral lists this ribosomal RNA (288 nucleotides) under uncultured bacterium. Its description in RNAcentral is "partial 16S ribosomal RNA". It matches the Rfam family "Bacterial small subunit ribosomal RNA", at positions 44 to 334 of the family's 1533-position model. The record is from RNAcentral.